Molecule: small nuclear RNA, 116 nt
Organism: Corchorus capsularis
Lineage: Eukaryota; Viridiplantae; Streptophyta; Magnoliopsida; Malvales; Malvaceae
Rfam family: U5 spliceosomal RNA
About the family: U5 RNA is a component of both types of known spliceosome. The precise function of this molecule is unknown, though it is known that the 5' loop is required for splice site selection and p220 binding, and that both the 3' stem-loop and the Sm site are important for Sm protein binding and cap methylation.
Source: Rfam
AGCCGUGCGGUGAGCACAGAGCGAACUAUUCUUUCGCCUUUUACUAAAGAAUACCGUGUGCUCGCCGCCCUAAGCGGCAUACGCCUAUUUUUGGGAGGCCCUUUUCCUCUUGGAAC